Molecule: ribosomal RNA, 274 nt
Filed under: uncultured bacterium
Lineage: Bacteria
Description: partial 16S ribosomal RNA
Rfam family: Bacterial small subunit ribosomal RNA
Source: RNAcentral
AUACGGAGGGGGCUAGCGUUGUUCGGAAUUACUGGGCGUAAAGCGUACGUAGGCGGACUGAUCAGUUGGGGGUGAAAUCCCAGGGCUUAACCCUGGAACUGCCUUCAAUGCUGUCAGUCUUGAGUUUGGGAGAGGUGAGUGGAAUUCCUAGUGUAGAGGUGAAAUUCAUAGAUAUUAGGAGGAACACCAGUGGCGAAGGCGGCUCACAGGCCCAUUACUGACGCUGAGGUACGAAAGCGUGGGGAGCAAACAGGAUUAGAUACCCUAGUAGUCC